Long non-coding RNA from Bos indicus x Bos taurus (hybrid cattle), 1017 nucleotides. The record is from Ensembl. Lineage: Eukaryota; Metazoa; Chordata; Mammalia; Artiodactyla; Bovidae.
CUCAUAUCCCACUUGGUAAAGAAUUCGGGAGCAAUGCAGGAGACCCUGGUUUGAUUCCUGGGUUGGGAAAAUCCACUGGAAAAGGGAUAGGCUACCCACUCCAGUAUACCUGGGCUUCCCUGGUGUUUCAGCUGGGAAAGAAUCCACCUGCAAUGCGGGAGACAUGGGUUCGAUCCCUGGGUUGGGGAUAUCCCCUGGAGAAGGGAAAGGCUACCCAAUCCAGUAUUCUGGCCUGGAGAAUCCCAUGGACUGUCCAUGGGGUCACAAAGAGUGGGACACGACUGAGCGACUUUCGCUUUUACUUUUCAGUGUUUAGGGUUGAGCACCGAGGGUCGCAAGAUGAAUGCCCUCAAGGAACUUACAAGGUUGCUGUGUGAUGCACAAUGGAAUUACUGAAUGGUCAGGAUAGCAUUGGAGGGCACUGGGAGGAUGGAGUAAUUCAUUCCAGUCCCUGGGAACUAGGGAGUCUUCCCAUAACAGUGAGCACAACUCUAUGGGUCUUUUCAUAUUGGAAGCAUCAUAUACACUCUUACUCAUUUCUUGUACUGAAACUGCAGCUCCCUUUCCCUGGAAGAGUUGCUCAAGAACUGGCCAAGCGUUGCAGAAAGGAAUCAAAGGUUGAAGCCAUACAAUUUUGCUAUUUAGAGGAUUCAGCUUAAGGUAACGGUCAAGUUGAAUAAUUCAAGAUCAAAGGGUUUGGGGCUUCCCUGGCGGUACAACAGUUAAGAAUCCACCUGCCAGUGAAGAGGAAAUGAUUUUGAUCCCUGGCCCGGGAAGAUUCCACCUACCACCUGGCAACUAAGCCAAUGCGGAACAACCACUGAUUCUGAUGCUGCAGCUACUGGAGCCUGCGUGCCUACAGUGUGGUCUGCAGCAAGAGAAGCCACCGCAAGAGAAGCCCGUGCUCGGCAAUGAGGAGUAGCCUCUGCUCACUGCAACUAGAGAGAGCCUGCCUGUAGCAGUGAAGACCCAGUGCAACCAAAAAGAAAUAAACAAAUUUUUAAAAAAGAAAAACCA